This 1514-nucleotide ribosomal RNA is filed under the name uncultured Vibrio sp. RNAcentral's name for it is "bacterial SSU rRNA". It matches the Rfam family "Bacterial small subunit ribosomal RNA". The record is from RNAcentral. Lineage: Bacteria; Pseudomonadati; Pseudomonadota; Gammaproteobacteria; Vibrionales; Vibrionaceae.
GAGUUUGAUCCUGGCUCAGAUUGAACGCUCGCGGCAGGCCUAACACAUGCAAGUCGAGCGGAAACGAGUUAUCUGAACCUUCGGGGAACGAUAACGGCGUCGAGCGGCGGACGGGUGAGUAAUGCCUAGGAAAUUGCCCUGAUGUGGGGGAUAACCAUUGGAAACGAUGGCUAAUACCGCAUAAUGCCUACGGGCCAAAGAGGGGGACCUUCGGGCCUCUCGCGUCAGGAUAUGCCUAGGUGGGAUUAGCUAGUUGGUGAGGUAAAGGCUCACCAAGGCGACGACCCCUAGCUGGUCUGAGAGGAUGAUCAGCCACACUGGAACUGAGACACGGUCCAGACUCCUACGGGAGGCAGCAGUGGGGAAUAUUGCACAAUGGGCGCAAGCCUGAUGCAGCCAUGCCGCGUGUGUGAAGAACGCCUUCGGGUUGUAAAGCACUUUCAGUCGUGAGGAAGGUAGUGUAGUUAAUAGCUGCAUUAUUUGACGUUAGCGACAGAAGAAGCACCGGCUAACUCCGUGCCAGCAGCCGCGGUAAUACGGAGGGUGCGAGCGUUAAUCGGAAUUACUGGGCGUAAAGCGCAUGCAGGUGGUUUGUUAAGUCAGAUGUGAAAGCCCGGGGCUCAACCUCGGAAUUGCAUUUGAAACUGGCAGACUAGAGUACUGUAGAGGGGGGUAGAAUUUCAGGUGUAGCGGUGAAAUGCGUAGAGAUCUGAAGGAAUACCGGUGGCGAAGGCGGCCCCCUGGACAGAUACUGACACUCAGAUGCGAAAACGUGGGGAGCAAACAGGAUUAGAUACCCUGGUAGUCCACGCCGUAAACGAUGUCUACUUGGAGGUUGUGGCCUUGAGCCGUGGCUUUCGGAGCUAACGCGUUAAGUAGACCGCCUGGGGAGUACGGUCGCAAGAUUAAAACUCAAAUGAAUUGACGGGGGCCCGCACAAGCGGUGGAGCAUGUGGUUUAAUUCGAUGCAACGCGAAGAACCUUACCUACUCUUGACAUCCAGAGAACUUUCCAGAGAUGGAUUGGUGCCUUCGGGAACUCUGAGACAGGUGCUGCAUGGCUGUCGUCAGCUCGUGUUGUGAAAUGUUGGGUUAAGUCCCGCAACGAGCGCAACCCUUAUCCUUGUUUGCCAGCGAGUAAUGUCGGGAACUCCAGGGAGACUGCCGGUGAUAAACCGGAGGAAGGUGGGGACGACGUCAAGUCAUCAUGGCCCUUACGAGUAGGGCUACACACGUGCUACAAUGGUCGGUACAAAGGGUUGCCAACUCGCGAGAGUGAGCCAAUCCCGAAAAGCCGAUCUCAGUCUGGAUCGGAGUCUGCAACUCGACUCCGUGAAGUCGGAAUCGCUAGUAAUCGUGGAUCAGAAUGCCACGGUGAAUACGUUCCCGGGCCUUGUACACACCGCCCGUCACACCAUGGGAGUGGACUGCACCAGAAGUGGUUAGCCUAACGCAAGAGGGCGAUCACCACGGUGUGGUUCAUGACUGGGGUGAAGUCGUAACAAGGUAACCGUA